RNA transcript from Pogoniulus pusillus (Red-fronted tinkerbird), 5974 nucleotides. It is a transcript of the gene named WD repeat domain 20, with no coding region annotated. The transcript is spliced from 4 exons. NCBI's taxonomy places the organism in Eukaryota, Metazoa, Chordata, Aves, Piciformes, Lybiidae. The record is from RefSeq and is a predicted model, not a curated record.
CCGCGCAGGGCUACGCGAGCGCCGGCGGCGGCGGCGGUUGCGCAGUGGCGGCGGUUGCGCAGUGGCGGUACAUCCGGGCGCUGGGGCAGGAUGAAUGCUCCUUUCCAAGAUGGCGGCGGAGGGAGGAGGGAAGGAGAUGAACGAGAUUAAGACCCAGUUCACUACCCGGGAGGGGCUGUACAAGCUGCUGAGCCAUUCGGAGUACAGCCGGCCGAACCGGGUGCCCUUCAACUCGCAGGGCUCCAACCCGGUCCGCGUUUCCUUCGUCAACGUCAACGACCAGAGCGGCAACGGGGACCGGCUCUGCUUCAAUGUGGGCCGGGAGCUCUACUUUUAUAUCUACAAGGGGGUUCGCAAGGCUGCAGACUUGAGUAAACCAAUAGACAAAAGGAUAUACAAAGGAACACAGCCUACAUGCCAUGACUUCAAUCACUUAACAGCAACAGCAGAAAGUGUGUCUCUUCUAGUGGGCUUCUCUGCAGGCCAAGUCCAACUUAUAGACCCAAUUAAAAAAGAAACUAGCAAAUUAUUUAAUGAGGAAAGACUAAUAGACAAGUCCAGAGUAACCUGUGUAAAAUGGGUACCAGGUUCGGAAAGCCUUUUCCUAGUAGCUCAUUCCAGUGGCAAUAUGUACUUGUAUAACGUGGAGCACACUUGUGGUACCACAGCCCCGCACUACCAGCUACUUAAACAAGGAGAAAGUUUUGCAGUUCACACUUGCAAGAGUAAAUCCACAAGAAACCCUCUGCUUAAAUGGACAGUAGGGGAGGGUGCCCUGAAUGAAUUUGCCUUUUCCCCAGAUGGGAAGUUCUUGGCGUGUGUGAGCCAGGAUGGUUUUCUUCGCGUAUUUAACUUUGAUUCAGUGGAAUUGCAUGGUACAAUGAAAAGCUACUUUGGAGGACUGCUGUGUGUGUGUUGGAGUCCCGAUGGGAAGUACAUAGUGACAGGUGGAGAGGAUGACUUGGUAACAGUUUGGUCUUUCGUGGACUGUCGAGUAAUAGCGAGAGGCCAUGGACACAAAUCGUGGGUCAGCGUUGUUGCAUUUGAUCCAUAUACCACUAGCGUAGAAGAGAGUGACCCAAUGGAAUUUAGCGGAAGUGAUGAGGAUUUCCAAGACCUUCAUUUUGGCAGAGAUCGAGCAAAUAGUACGCAAUCUAGGCUAUCCAAAAGGAACUCUACAGACAGUCGUCCAGUAAGUGUUACUUAUAGAUUUGGUUCAGUAGGCCAGGACACACAGCUCUGUUUGUGGGAUCUUACAGAAGAUAUCCUUUUCCCCCACCAACCUCUCUCAAGAGCAAGGACACAUACAAAUGUCAUGAAUGCCACAAGUCCACCUGCUGGAAGUGGUGGAACUAACCCAGGAAGUAAUGGAAACAGUAUCACAACACCUGGAAACUCUGUACCCCCUCCUCUUCCACGGUCAAACAGCCUUCCACACUCUGCAGUCUCAAAUGCUGGCAGUAAAAGCAGUGUCAUGGAUGGUGCCAUUGCUUCUGGCGUUAGUAAAUUUGCAACCUUAUCGCUACACGAUCGGAAGGAAAGACACCAUGAAAAAGAUCACAAGAGAAAUCAUAGCAUGGGACAUAUAUCUAGCAAGAGCAGUGACAAACUGAACCUAGUUACUAAAACCAAAACGGACCCAGCUAAAACUUUGGGAACACCUCUCUGUCCCCGAAUGGAAGAUGUUCCCUUGUUAGAGCCUCUUAUCUGUAAAAAGAUAGCACAUGAAAGACUGACUGUGUUAAUUUUUCUUGAAGACUGUAUAGUCACUGCUUGUCAGGAGGGAUUUAUUUGCACAUGGGCAAGGCCUGGUAAAGUGGUAAGUUUUAAUCCUUAAUGCUGCAUCAAAGAACUAGAACUCUGAAUAGGUAGUUUUCUUGAAAUAUAAAUGAAUGUUGAAUAUAAAAUUUCUUUAUGCUUAAUGUAAAAAAAAAAUAAAACUCCUCAGAGCCAUACUUUUGGAUACUGCAUGCCAUAUUUCUGAAUGAUUUGAAGUGUCUUGGAUACAAUUACUACGUCUAGUUGCCUUCCAGCAGAAGAAAUAAAUACUGUGCAUCUAAACUAUUGAUCAGUGUUCUUAUACUUAAACAUAACCACAAUAUGGUGAAAGCUAUUUAUGUAAAAAAUGGAACUUAGAACCUGUAAAUCACUAAAAUAAUGAUAAACCUUCUAAUGUUUUAUACAAAAAUCUAGCACUCCCUAUGAGCGUAGCUUACGAAAAGCUGCUGCUUUUAAGUCUAAUGAGAAAAGUGAGCCUCUGAAAAAAAACGAAAACCAAAGUGUUUAUUUUCUCCAUACUUCUUUGUGGUGGCCUGCAUUAACGUGAAACCACUUCUUAUUGAAACGUCAGCCUUUUUAUGCACAGAUUUGUGAGCCCUUUACUAACUGUAGUUUAUGCUCUUGAAAUUGUGAAUCACUGAUAUCAAGGAAAUCGUAAUUUUAGCCAGGUCUUGAUUUAUGUAUUUAAGUUAGGGAAAAUCAUGCAAGCUUUCUCUAGUAACUAGUUUCAGUGUUACGUUACUGUCAGUUUAGUUAGGCAAUUUGAUCACAAGGAGCUUGUGCUUUUUUGAUGGCACCUGGUCUAUUGAUUGAACCUUCAUUAAAUAUAUAUUACUAGCUUUAACUCUUGUUGUUAAGGACACAGAUAAAACUUUAUUUUCCUUCUGUCCAAUGUAUAGCAAGCGAAAUUUUGAAUGAAGCUUAAUGUGGUGAUUAUUUUAUUUAAAAAGUACUUUGUGCUACUAUAGCUUUGUUUGCAAGCGACCUUUAAAGGAAUACAGCUAUGAAAACAUGACUAGAGCUGACCUAGCAAGAAGGGCCACUAUUUUUGUGAAAAUUUCUGAAAGGGCAUGGAGGCUAUCAGCUGAAGAAAAAUAAUUGGGUAGUACUGGAAUAUUGCCACAUUGGACAAUGUAAAUGAAAAUCUCACGUUUGUUAGUUUUAACCAUUUGGUUCAUAAAUCUGAGUUUUGAAGUGGGGAUACUGUAUAUAUUUAUAUGCCACAUCCUCCUCGCUCUAAACUUGUGAGUAAAACUCAGUUUUGUACAAUAUUAAGUUCCUUUGAGAUAGAAUCAAAUUUCACAGCAUAGGUAUAUGUAAAGAGCUAUGUCUGCUCAGCAUCUUAAUGCAUAUUUUUGAAGGCUGAAGCUAAAACUGGUAACCCCUGUUCUGGGAAGAAGGAAAGAGGGUCUUACCAAAAGUAUUUUUCUACCCAAGAAAUACAGAUACAGCAUUAAUUAAAAAAAAAAAAUAAAGCAAAGGAACACCCCCUCCUCAAAACAUUAAACUAUUAAAAUGCCUGUCCUAAAGUGAAAUACUAAAGCAAUUUUCACUUUGACUCAGUACAAUUCAUGUGUCUUACGAAUUAACUUUUAUACUCAUACAGCAGUGCCUCAGAUUUCUGUUGUUAUCUAUAUUUAAUUUUUGUUCUAAAGAUCCUGUAGGUACUGCUAGACACUACACUGUUAAAUUUAUUUUCAGUGGCUGAGGUGGGUUUUGUUAGACUGAGUGUAACUUAAAUAUUUCUGUGUAUUGACUUUGAUUUGGAAUAUGACAUUUCAAAUAUUUCAGAGAUAAAGUAUGCAGUACCAAAAAUCAGGAUUUAUGUAUUGGCCAAUAUGGAAAACUUUAAUUACAGAGUGAAAGCCUCUGAACCUUGCUGCUUCUUCCAUCAUUGCCUCAAAAGGCCUUCAUUAAAUUCAUGCUACUGCCAGCCUAAGGAAAGAAUUGGAUGGAAAACUGAAGCAGGCUUGCAGUGUCUAACACAAUUUCCACUGAGCCAGUGCUCCUUUCCCUCUCAUUUUUAAUAGUCAUCAAAAGAUGCUCUGGAUAAUUGGACACUGUGUGACAGGUUCUCCUCAUUUUUCUGUUUGGGCUGGUGCUGCCCUUAGUGAAAACGAAUCCAGAAGUGUCUCUUCAGCCGUGAUCCUUAUGAUAGCUGAUAGGCUGCACAGUGCUCACAGAGUGUCCUGACUGUUCAUGAACUCUCCAAAUUACUGCUUCAGUGUAUCAUCAUACCUUGAGCUUCCUCACUGGAUAUACCGUUCUUGCAUUGCACUUCCAAAACUGUUAUACUAAUUCCCAGUCAGCCUGAGGUGAAGUGAAUGUCAAAAUCCAAUUAAAACCAAGUUGAACGAGGCUCAGGGUUCCUUAGUUUCAAUUUUUCACUCUUAUUUUUUUGUUUAUCUGUUUCUGUGGAAGAAGGUUCAUGGCGGUGAAAAAAAUAGGUUGCCUUAACAAGAGUAUGAACUUUCUUCUCCAUGUGGUGACAAUUAGCUGUUGCCUCUCUGUGCUAUCAUUCCCAGGCCCCGAUGGGUAACCUAAAAGGGAUCAUAGAUCUGUUGUGUUAAUCUGAAAAUGCAGGAAAAUAAUUUUAGAGGAAAACAAGGUAGGCUUCAAGUGCUACCUUUAUGGCUACUUCAAACUAAGUUACAGGACCUGCAGAAGCAAUUCCAACAAAACCCAAAACCAACCCACAAACCCCAACAACAGCCCCCCUCAAAAAACCAAAGUGGCACCUGGAUAUGCAAAACAGGUUUUCUCUGAACUGAGUGGAAAGAGGAACUCUCUACAUGAUUUCUGUGUCCAACUUCAGAAUUAAGUAUUCGCCUUCUUGUACAGCGACUCCAUUUUACCUACGUUGAAGUUGCUGAUCAGUGGUUUCCUUUGUAAGAAAGCUCAAGGUAAGAUAGGCUAGAAGUAUGAAGAGGUGAAAUGGCAGUGUAUAACCUAGCAAGAGAAACAUGCUACCAUUUUGUAAAACAAAUGCACAUGAAAUUUAUUUAUUUGACUUAUUGUACAGGAAAACUUAGACUUAAAUUAUAACAUCCUUGAAUUUUCUAGUUAACUACAAUUGUAGUACAGUAUCAUGUUUUAGUAUGGCUUCUGUUGUAGUGAAAGUACUUAACCAUUCAUGUACUAUAUUUGAGUGAGAUGAGCAGCUAUACAUACUAAUUCUUCCUCAAUGGAAAGGAGCAUUUCAUCAUUACAAUUGAAGUUCAAUUGCUGGUAUUUAAGUACUAUCAAAUAGAUUUCUUUCGACGUGAUACGGUAUCUGUAUAAACUUCAGGGAUGACUAUAGUAAAACUGAAACACAGCUAUAUGACUUCAGGUUACCAUGCUAAAAUUUGAAGCUUUCUGUAAUGUGCAUAAUAGCAAAGUUGCACAGAGCAUACCCGCGUUAUCAGGGUGAACUUAAACCUAGUACACUGGUGUGAUAUUUAUAGCAAGGUAUGUGUGCCCGCGUGCGUGUGUGAGGAGGUGUGACUAGCGGCUCCAGUAAAGCCAGGAGAGAUCAUAACCCUGUUAAAGGCUUUAUGAUGAGGAUGUCUGGAUUAGGAAAUAACAUGACUUUUACUAAACACUUUUUAGAAAACCCAUGUUCUGAAUUAUCACCUCUUGCAAUUUGAUGAUGUACUCGGAAUGACUGUAUAUGUCUGCCCCUUUAACAACGUAAAGCUACUAAAUUAAUAUUUAAAAUGCUGGCCUGCUUAUGUUACGGUAAUAAAAUUUGUGUCAGUUAAUUUACUGUCAAUUUACAUGUAAAGGUUAAAUAUUUUUUUUUUCCUGCAUUUUAUGAAUUCUGUAUACUGGAGUUUGUUAAAGAUUGACAUGUUAGGUGAUACUGUACAAAAUUGUAUUGACUACCUUUAGUGAAAAACAAAAGUAAAAUUCAUAUGUAUUUCCUUUUUACACUUCCAUCUAAUUUCUUGACAACUUGAAUAAAUUUCAUAGAGCCUUUCUAACAUGAACUAUUGUUAAUUUAACUGUUGCAAUAAUUAAGCUUUAAGAAGUAUUGUUGGUAUAUUUAUAAUUUUAAGAAGAUCAUGUUUGUUUCAUACUGCUUAUUUUUAGCUGUUCUAUUGUCACUGUUACAGCUGAAGAACUUUACUAAAUACUUGACAUUACAAAAUAACUCGCUGGGGUUGUCCUCUGUAUACUGAUGUUAAAUAAAAAUGUGUGAUUGAACUGUAAA